GAUGAACGCUGGCGGCGUGCCUAAUACAUGCAAGUCGAGCGAACGGACGAGAAGCUUGCUUCUCUGAUGUUAGCGGCGGACGGGUGAGUAACACGUGGAUAACCUACCUAUAAGACAGGGAUAACUUCGGGAAACCGGAGCUAAUACCGGAUGAUAUUUUGAACCGCAUGGUUCAAAAGUGAAAGACGGUCUUGCUGUCACUUAUAGAUGGAUCCGCGCUGCAUUAGCUAGUUGGUAAGGUAACGGCUUACCAAGGCAACGAUGCAUAGCCGACCUGAGAGGGUGAUCGGCCACACUGGAACUGAGACACGGUCCAGACUCCUACGGGAGGCAGCAGUAGGGAAUCUUCCGCAAUGGGCGAAAGCCUGACGGAGCAACGCCGCGUGAGUGAUGAAGGUCUUCGGAUCGUAAAACUCUGUUAUUAGGGAAGAACAUAUGUGUAAGUAACUGUGCACAUCUUGACGGUACCUAAUCAGAAAGCCACGGCUAACUACGUG
Molecule: ribosomal RNA, 497 nt
Filed under: uncultured bacterium
Lineage: Bacteria
Description: partial 16S ribosomal RNA
Rfam family: Bacterial small subunit ribosomal RNA
Source: RNAcentral